RNAcentral lists this transfer RNA (74 nucleotides) under Campylobacter lari NCTC 11845. Its description in RNAcentral is "tRNA-Gly". It matches the Rfam family "tRNA". From Rfam's summary of the family: Transfer RNA (tRNA) molecules are approximately 80 nucleotides in length. Their secondary structure includes four short double-helical elements and three loops (D, anti-codon, and T loops). The record is from RNAcentral. Lineage: Bacteria; Pseudomonadati; Campylobacterota; Epsilonproteobacteria; Campylobacterales; Campylobacteraceae.
GGAGUAGCUCAGUUGGCUAGAGCAUCAGCCUUCCAAGCUGAGGGUCGCGGGUUCGAGUCCCGUUUCCCGCUCCA